Molecule: long non-coding RNA, 2890 nt
Organism: Cyprinus carpio carpio
Lineage: Eukaryota; Metazoa; Chordata; Actinopteri; Cypriniformes; Cyprinidae
Source: Ensembl
AUGUCUCCAAAUAAGUGUGUUUUUGGAUGUGAGGAAAAGAUUACUGUGUUCAGCUUCCCAAAGAACCCAGCGUUACACGAACAGUGGAUGCAGUUUGUUUUUCCGGGGCAGCAACGGAGUGUAGCAAGUGCGUUUGUGUGUUCUCGUCAUUUCAGUGACAAAUAUUUUAUAAACAAGGCCCAGGUCGACGCUGGAUUUGCACAUGGUUUGCUAUUAAAACAUGGAGCAGUCCCAGUGAUAAAAGACCCCAUUCAUUUUUGUUGGAGUCCCUCAAUUGUCCUCAUUGUGAAAAGAUGGAUCUCAAAAUCAUACAGUCACUGCUGGAAAGGGUUCAAAUGUGCAAAAAUGCUGGAAAACUGAAGAAUCUGCAGGACAUGGAGGAUUUUUCUGAAGAACAGAGCUCAGAUUAACUGUUCAGAACAAACAAGGGACUCAUGAACAACCAUCACAAAACAAAAAAAACAAAACAAAACAGUCGUGGAUCAUCAGGUAGCCACACACAGUAUUAAGAACCAAGGGUUCACAAACUUUUGAAUGGGGUUAUUUUAAGAAUUUCAGCAAUUUUUUUUUUUUUUUUUGGUGUGUCUUGUGGACUAAAUGUAAACAUCUUUUAUGUGAAAUAUCUUAUUUAGGACAUUACUAAAUAAAAAAUAACAUGCAUUUUGUAUGAUCUCUCUUAUUUUGUUCAAAUUAUUCACAUUUUCACAGAUUCUUCAAGGGGUUCCCAAACAUUCGCAUGCCACUGUAUAUAUUGUGUGUGUGUGUUUGUAAUAAAUUGUAUAAAAAAUGUCUAUAUUUUAUAUUUACUAAUAGAAUAACAACAUAUAUGUCAAAUCUAUAUUACAAAAACAUAAACAUACAUAUUUGCAUAUGCUAGACUUAUCUGUUACAUAUACUUAUAUACAUGUAUACAUAUUGAUAUGUUAAAUUUACAUACAUUUGUGUAUGGGUUACUAAUCAAUAAUGCACGCGCGCGCACACACACACACACACACACACACACACACACACACACACACAUAUCAAAAUGAACUUUGUUUUCAGGUGGUUCUUUUUUAAGUUGUCAAUAUAUAUUUUGUUAAAUAUCUUGAUUUAACCGGAAUUAUGCCACAUUAUGAGAAUAAUAAGUUGUGUUUCACAUUAUUUCACCAAUGCAUUUCACGUUGACUUUAGGCUGCACAGCAAAAUGAAUGUUUGUUUUGAAUGAAUGCAUCCAGACCACAGCAAGAGAAAGUGCCUCGCUCUGCAUGUGCUGAUUUAUGUUUUCAAUUAUCCUUCAUUUUCAUUGGACUGAUCAGAGGAGUGAAUUGUGAGAUACCAUAAAGCAAAGAAAUAUGCUAAACAUAAUUCCAUUAAGAUCGGAGGCAUAACCGAAUGCCACUUUCUUGCAGGGUAAGAUGGGUCUUCUAGAUGCCUGAUCUUUAUGGUCAGAUAUAUUUAACAGGAGGACCCUUUGUGUGCAGUUGACAACUACAGAGAAACAAAGGUGGGUCUUUCUUGCAGAUCAUAAACAAUGGCAACAAAAGUGCCCCAAACCCUCAGAAACUAUCUAGAUUAGGCUGUGAGGCCAGUAUUUAACAGGGUCGCUCUGUGAAAUAAGCCAUAAGCAGAGGAGAGGCAAUGAUAAUAGGCUUCUGAAUGGCCUUUCACAUGACUUGCAUCAGGGCUUCACACCUCAGCACUCGAGGCUUGACCGGCACAUAAAAGCACUGCAGAGAUCAUAGAGGAAUGAUCUCUGAAGGUCAGGAUAUAUUGCCCCUGUGUUGCACAACUCAAACUGCCUGACACAGAGAGAAUCUCAUCUCGUUUUGGCUUUUGUGUUAUUAUUGAAACUUUGUUUGUUUUAGCCAUAGAUUUAAACUUUUGCCAUAAAAUUAUUCAAAAGUGUUUUUUUUUUUUUAUAUAACCGUUUGAAUAAAGUACUCUCCUGAAAACGUUUCGGUUAUGUAUGGUAACCCUCAUUCCCUGAAGGAGGUAAUGGAGACUAAUUGGGAUAUCGCUUGGAUAGACCAAUCUACUUUGAGUGUAAACUAAACAAGCAAAUGCACAUUGGCAUGCAAUUAUUGCAUCUAGCUGCAGCUGAUCACAGCAUGAGUAUAAGGCGGCAGCAGGUGCAAUGCAUACCAGGUUUUCACUGAGGAGCCGGUGACCUGGCCACUCAGCGGUGGUACAGCAGCCAUGGCGAUGGGACGUGACGUCUCCGUUCUCUCCUUCAGGGGACGAGGGUUACCAUACGUAACCGAGACAUUCUCUUUCAGUCAGUCACUUUCAUCUGUUUAGGAACAUAUAGAAAAUUGGAGGUGAUUGUAACCCUCUUGGAAAUGGCAGAAGUCUGUCGGGGAAGCACGGGCUCUGAGGCUAUACCAUGGACUUUACACAUAUGGGAUCCACUUAGGUCUCACAUAUGGACCCCGGCCUUCUACUGGUUCUCAAGGAUUCAGCGAGUGAAGGCCUGGCGCCGGAUGCUCCACCACGUCUGGCUACUGAGGGGACGGAGGAGCUUGACAGGGUCUAUGAAAUGGACUAUCUGGAGAGGUUUUAGCAAGCCGACACUAACCGGGGUCUCUCAGUGCCACUACCCAUUUGAGGUGAGAACACAGGAGGAUACCGGCUCCACACGAAGGCUAAAGAAUCUAGCGAACGUGUUGGGGGUCUGAGGUCCUAAAGCUUUGUGUCCAGUCUAUGUAGCAUCUGAGGGCUCGGACGGGAUAAAGCAAAGUAAGGGGUGGGUCUGCCUCCUCCAGGGGCAGCACGUGCAGGUUCACCACCUGAUCCCUGAAAGGAUUAGUGGGAACCUUAGGCACAUAGCCGGAACGGGGCCUUAGGAUUACCUGGGAGUCAGCCGGCCCAAACUCUAGGCACAAAUUAUCAACCAAAAAUGCAUGCAGGU